Molecule: long non-coding RNA, 1872 nt
Filed under: Gossypium barbadense (sea-island cotton)
Lineage: Eukaryota; Viridiplantae; Streptophyta; Magnoliopsida; Malvales; Malvaceae
Description: long non-coding RNA (GBAR_LNC019634)
Source: RNAcentral
CGGCCUCCAUUUCGUCCAGGUAAGCCUGUUCUUUCAGGUCCGUGUAUUUCUUGAACGAACUCGAGAUUAAGUCAUUCAUCUUGCCACCAAAAUAUUUAACCUCACAAUCUACUCUUCUUUUUCCUCUUCUUCUUUUAUGGGAUUAAUAUUGGUUAUGUUUUACCCAAAUGGGUUGAUGGAACUAUACAUGAACUAAUCUAAAUUGUAAUGAAAUUUGGGAUUAUAUUUUUAUGAGAAAUGGGACAAUGUUUGUUUGUUCUUUUUCCCUCAUCAUCAACUGCUGCAAUUGGCAAUGGAGGAAGAGGAACAAAGAGAAGAGGGAGAGGUGGUGACAACAGGGAAAACUGUCACCAAUCGAAGCAUCAAAAAGGGUACAAAAUGGCUAAUUUUUCCCUUGUUUUUUGGUUGGUAAUGAAAUUACAGGUAUUGGACAAGCAUGAACUAAAAAUAGGGGAUUUUUACAACUUUUAUUUUUUGAAGUUCGAUACCAAAAUAUCUUUGGUUGACGUUGUCAAUGGAUAUCCUUAUUUUUAUCCAUCAUUCACUAUCCUCAAAUCUCUUAAUCCCCCUUCUUAAUGCUCACUAACUUUAUUUUGUUUAUUAAAAGCUCCUAAACUUGGUCAGAAUUAGUCAAUGAUGAAAACUCCUGUGUUUUUAUUUCAAUUUAAGUUAAUUUCCAACUUAAUCUUUUAUUGGUUUCAUGUUUUUCUAACUUAAAUCAUUUUAAGUUUGGAUUAUUUCGAGCUUAAAUUAUUUUAAAUUCAAAUUAAUAAUUUGUUUGAUUUUUAUAGUCAAAUUGGGUUUGGAUCAUUUCGAAUUGUUUCAAAUUCUUUAAUGUAAAAUUUAAAUAUUGUAAAAAUUUUGUUGAGCCCAUGAUUCAACAGUAUUUUUUUACAUAAUUCAAUCAAUUGUGCACCGAUUUUGACAAUGAUGGUCAAAGCAAUACGAAUCGGUCAGAUCAAAUUUUUGAAUUGGAGACAAAAUUGGUAGGCAAAGAUUAUAAAAUCAUUACUCCUAAGCAAACUUUUCUAUUUCGCCGCAUAAUAUAAAUAGUAUGCAAGGCAACAAAAUAAUGUAAAAUCAACAAAAUGCAAUUUCUCUUUAACUUGCAUUCUCUAUUCUUCUUGAUGUAUAUAUAUAUAUAUAGCAAGGUGAGCUCCUAAAAUGAACUACACUAGCUUCGACCUCCAUUCUGCAUCGGCAGCAUCUCAGAUAUUACUGCAGAGAAAAUGAUCGAAAACUGACUUAUCGAUUUCUUUUUAUGUCCAUGGAAGAACAAUGCUGAUGAAGAUGUAUGUUUAACCAAAACUGUGGUUGAUGUAGUUAAUAGGAUAUAGUGCAUUGAUCUAACCGGUGGCUGAUGUGGGUGCAAACGUUUUAAUAGGGAAAAUUGCUGGAUGGUCCAUGUCAGCAUCUCGAUGACUGGCUCUAAGAUCGAUGCUACUGUUGAUUUUUCCUAAUUCCGUUCCGCUGCCAGGUUGCGUCUGAGUAACUUCUAUGUUACUGUUGCCACUGGAGCUCAAAAUACUUUGCUGCCUAUGGUAUUUGUCGGUGGCACCUUGAAGCAAUCUCAUCGUGCCGCCGGAAUCUGAACCAGGUGAGAGCUCUUCUUCUCGCUCCGGCUGGAUAUUCAAGUCAAUUUGGCCUUUAAAGGGUGAACUCGAGGACUUUAACCUGUUAGUAUCAUCAUCCAAAUUCUCGCUGACAACCUUUUCCGGGUUCAGACUGCUGUUUCCCGCACUAGUAGUGCAAGGGAGAGGCUCAUCGUCCACUACUUUAUCGGGCAAUGAAGGCUGCUGCUUCUUGCGUGUAGCGUCUGCUUCUUUUUGCGAUUGUUUCUUCUCACGCCGCAGCAUUAGGGUGCGGAAGCGU